GCCAGGAUAGCUCAGUGGUAGAGCGCGUAAUCACCUUGGUCGCUAUUCUCCGGCGACGGCAGUGAUGAUCAGGGUUACUCCGCUGUCAACGGCGAGGUCGCGGGUUCGAGUCCCGCUCCUGGCG
This 124-nucleotide transfer RNA is filed under the name Polyangium sorediatum. RNAcentral's name for it is "tRNA-OTHER". It matches the Rfam family "tRNA". Rfam says of the family: Transfer RNA (tRNA) molecules are approximately 80 nucleotides in length. Their secondary structure includes four short double-helical elements and three loops (D, anti-codon, and T loops). Further hydrogen bonds mediate the characteristic L-shaped molecular structure. tRNAs have two regions of fundamental functional importance: the anti-codon, which is responsible for specific mRNA codon recognition, and the 3' end, to which the tRNAs corresponding amino acid is attached (by aminoacyl-tRNA synthetases). tRNAs cope with the degeneracy of the genetic code in two manners: having more than one tRNA (with a specific anti-codon) for a particular amino acid; and 'wobble' base-pairing, i.e. permitting non-standard base-pairing at the 3rd anti-codon position. Lineage: Bacteria; Pseudomonadati; Myxococcota; Polyangiales; Polyangiaceae. The record is from RNAcentral.